Molecule: unclassified non-coding RNA, 330 nt
Filed under: soil metagenome
Description: partial contains 5.8S ribosomal RNA, internal transcribed spacer 2, and large subunit ribosomal RNA
Rfam family: 5.8S ribosomal RNA (bases 1-120)
Source: RNAcentral
GAUGAAGAACGCAGCGAAAUGCGAUAAGUAAUGUGAAUUGCAGAAUUCAGUGAAUCAUCGAAUCUUUGAACGCACAUUGCGCCCCCUGGUAUUCCGGGGGGCAUGUCUGUUCGAGCGUCAUUUCACCACUCAAGCCUCGCUUGGUAUUGGGCAACGCGGUCCGCCGCGUGCCUCAAAUCGACCGGCUGGGUCUUCUGUCCCCUAAGCGUUGUGGAAACUUUCGCUAAAGGGUGUUCGGGAGGCUACGCCGUAAAACAACCCCAUUUCUAAGGUUGACCUCGGAUCAGGUAGGGAUACCCGCUGAACUUAAGCAUAUCAAUAAGCGGAGGA